GGAUAUAGCUCAGUUGAUAGAGUGCUUGCCUUACCUGGGCAAGGUCCUGGGUUCAAUCCCCAGUACCA
This 68-nucleotide transfer RNA is filed under the name Marmota monax (woodchuck). RNAcentral describes it as "tRNA.Sup". It matches the Rfam family "tRNA". Rfam says of the family: Transfer RNA (tRNA) molecules are approximately 80 nucleotides in length. The record is from RNAcentral. Lineage: Eukaryota; Metazoa; Chordata; Mammalia; Rodentia; Sciuridae.